AUGAAGUUUAGAGUUGUUUGCAGGAAGGUGUACGAUUACGUGAGGUACGAUCUGAAAGAGAUCGCCUUCCCGUCUUCUCUGCCGGACCCUCCGGGCACCAAGAGGCGCCCUAAACUCACACUGAAAGAAAAAUGGUGUAUCCUCAAGGAGGCAUCUAGGCUGUAUGGGGCUUCCUGGGUCAGGGACAUCGGUCCAGAGCUCAGGCCGAAUGAUUACAAGAAGGCCAAAAAGGAAUCUGAUCCCAACAUUACUGACGAGGGUAACACUAAAACUGAACCUACUGUGCUUGAGGACCUCGCGGUGGCAGCGAGGGGUGGGGCCGAGACUCUGAAGCCUGCGCUGCGGCGCAUAUACAUGACCCGCGCCUCAACCUACACAAGUGCAGUGAAGAACUAUGUGGAGACCUAUCAGGAAGGGCUGAAGGAUGUGUUGGACGAGAAGGCUGGAAACGGUCACCAGCAAGGCAAUGAGCCGAUGAGAUCAUCGACGUCGCCUCCGCCCCCGCAAUCAUCAUCAUGA
This 519-nucleotide ribosomal RNA is filed under the name Triticum aestivum (bread wheat). Its description in RNAcentral is "partial small subunit ribosomal RNA". The record is from RNAcentral. Lineage: Eukaryota; Viridiplantae; Streptophyta; Magnoliopsida; Poales; Poaceae.